CGUAGGGUGCGAGCGUUGUCCGGAAUUAUUGGGCGUAAAGAGCUCGUAGGCGGAUUGUCGCGUCGGCCGUGAAAACUUGGGGCUUAACUCCAAGCUUGCGGUCGAUACGGGCAGACUUGAGUUCGGCAGGGGAGACUGGAAUUCCUGGUGUAGCGGUGAAAUGCGCAGAUAUCAGGAGGAACACCGGUGGCGAAGGCGGGUCUCUGGGCCGAUACUGACGCUGAGGAGCGAAAGCGUGGGGAGCGAACAGGAUUAGAUACCCUGGUAGUCCACGCCGUAAACGGUGGGUGCUAGGUGUGGGGAGCUUCCACGCCCUCUGUGCCGCAGCUAACGCAUUAAGCACCCCGCCUGGGGAGUACGGCCGCAAGGCUA
Molecule: ribosomal RNA, 372 nt
Filed under: uncultured organism
Description: bacterial SSU rRNA
Rfam family: Bacterial small subunit ribosomal RNA
Source: RNAcentral